RNAcentral lists this ribosomal RNA (484 nucleotides) under uncultured bacterium. Its description in RNAcentral is "partial 16S ribosomal RNA". It matches the Rfam family "Bacterial small subunit ribosomal RNA", at positions 30 to 507 of the family's 1533-position model. The record is from RNAcentral.
AUUGAACGCUGGCGGCAGGCCUAACACAUGCAAGUCGAGCGGAUGAAGGGAGCUUGCUCCUGGAUUCAGCGGCGGACGGGUGAGUAAUGCCUAGGAAUCUGCCUGGUAGUGGGGGAUAACGUCCGGAAACGGGCGCUAAUACCGCAUACGUCCUGAGGGAGAAAGUGGGGGAUCUUCGGACCUCACGCUAUCAGAUGAGCCUAGGUCGGAUUAGCUAGUUGGUGGGGUAAAGGCCUACCAAGGCGACGAUCCGUAACUGGUCUGAGAGGAUGAUCAGUCACACUGGAGCUGAGACACGGUCCAGACUCCUACGGGAGGCAGCAGUGGGGAAUAUUGGACAAUGGGCGAAAGCCUGAUCCAGCCAUGCCGCGUGUGUGAAGAAGGUCUUCGGAUUGUAAAGCACGUUAAGUUGGGAGGAAGGGCAGUAAGUUAAUACCUUGCUGUUUUGACGUUACCAACAGAAUAAGCACCGGCUAACUUCGUG